RNAcentral lists this ribosomal RNA (506 nucleotides) under uncultured bacterium. Its description in RNAcentral is "partial 16S ribosomal RNA". It matches the Rfam family "Bacterial small subunit ribosomal RNA", at positions 29 to 523 of the family's 1533-position model. The record is from RNAcentral.
AGUGAACGCUGGCGGUAGGCCUAACACAUGCAAGUCGAACGGCAGCACAGGAGAGCUUGCUCUCUGGGUGGCGAGUGGCGGACGGGUGAGGAAUACAUCGGAAUCUACCUUUUCGCGGGGGAUAACGUAGGGAAACUUACGCUAAUACCGCAUACGACCUUCGGGUGAAAGCAGGGGACCUUCGGGCCUUGCGCGGAUAGAUGAGCCGAUGUCGGAUUAGCUAGUUGGCGGGGUAAAGGCCCACCAAGGCGACGAUCCGUAGCUGGUCUGAGAGGAUGAUCAGCCACACUGGAACUGAGACACGGUCCAGACUCCUACGGGAGGCAGCAGUGGGGAAUAUUGGACAAUGGGCGCAAGCCUGAUCCAGCCAUACCGCGUGGGUGAAGAAGGCCUUCGGGUUGUAAAGCCCUUUUGUUGGGAAAGAAAAGCAACCAGUUAAUACCUGGUUGUUCUGACGGUACCCAAAGAAUAAGCACCGGCUAACAUCGUGCCAGCCGCCGCCGUAA